Molecule: non-coding RNA, 81 nt
Organism: Caerostris darwini
Lineage: Eukaryota; Metazoa; Arthropoda; Arachnida; Araneae; Araneidae
Source: the annotation of a GenBank genome assembly
UCUUGUGAUCACCGAAGUCAAGCAUCAUUGGACGCGGUCAGUACUUGGGUGGGUGACCACCUGGGAACACUGCGUGCCGUU